AGCGAACGCUGGCGGCAGGCCUAAAACAUGCAAGUCGAACGCGAAAGGGACUUCGGUCCUGAGUAGAGUGGCGAACGGGUGAGUAACGCGUGGGUGAUCUACCCUCGAGUGGGGGAUAACGUUCCGAAAGGGACGCUAAUACCGCAUGAUGUUCCGGGUUUGAAGACCUGGAAACCAAAGCCGGGGACCGCAAGGCCUGGCGCUCAAGGAGGAGCCCGCGUCUGAUUAGCUAGUUGGCGGGGUAAUGGCCCACCAAGGCGACGAUCGAUAGCUGGUCUGAGAGGAUGAUCAGCCACACUGGAACUGAGACACGGUCCAGACUCCUACGGGAGGCAGCAGUAGGGAAUAUUGGACAAUGGGGGCAACCCUGAUCCAGCCAUGCCGCGUGAGUGAAGAAGGCCCUCGGGUUGUAAAGCUCUUUUGUCCGGAAAGAAAGCAUCUGGUUAAUACCCGGGUGUUCUGACGGUACCGGAAGAAUAAGCACCGGCUAACUUCGUGCCAGCAGCCGCGGU
This 512-nucleotide ribosomal RNA is filed under the name uncultured bacterium. Its description in RNAcentral is "bacterial SSU rRNA". It matches the Rfam family "Bacterial small subunit ribosomal RNA", at positions 29 to 521 of the family's 1533-position model. The record is from RNAcentral.